GGGGGUACAGCCCCUUUAAAAAAGGACACAACCUCCAUCAGCGGAUAACUCCAUGCACCCAGCCCUGUGGGCCUUAAAGCAGCCACCCCCAAAGAUUGCGUCAAAGCUCCAUCAACUAAAAACCCCAAAAACCAAUGCGACUCCCUACACCCCUAGCAAGCCAACCUAUAACAAUAGAUGAAUCAAUGCUAGAACGAGUAACCAGGGCACUGUGCCCCCCCAAGCGCCAGCCUGCACACCAUUAACAGCAAAACCUCAAUAAAAACCACCCCCUCCUCCCACCAUUGAACACACCCUGUCAAUCCAACUCAGGGGCGCACACUGGAGUGAUCAAAGUCUACAAAAGGAACUCGGCAAACCCAAGACCCGACUGUUUACCAAAAACAUAGCCUUCAGCCAAACAAGUAUUGAA
Molecule: ribosomal RNA, 412 nt
Filed under: Guaruba guarouba
Lineage: Eukaryota; Metazoa; Chordata; Aves; Psittaciformes; Psittacidae
Description: partial 16S ribosomal RNA
Source: RNAcentral